This 895-nucleotide ribosomal RNA is filed under the name Enterococcus faecium. RNAcentral describes it as "bacterial SSU rRNA". It matches the Rfam family "Bacterial small subunit ribosomal RNA", at positions 67 to 932 of the family's 1533-position model. The record is from RNAcentral. Lineage: Bacteria; Bacillati; Bacillota; Bacilli; Lactobacillales; Enterococcaceae.
CGCUUCUUUUUCCACCGGAGCUUGCUCCACCGGAAAAAGAGGAGUGGCGAACGGGUGAGUAACACGUGGGUAACCUGCCCAUCAGAAGGGGAUAACACUUGGAAACAGGUGCUAAUACCGUAUAACAAUCAAAACCGCAUGGUUUUGAUUUGAAAGGCGCUUUCGGGUGUCGCUGAUGGAUGGACCCGCGGUGCAUUAGCUAGUUGGUGAGGUAACGGCUCACCAAGGCCACGAUGCAUAGCCGACCUGAGAGGGUGAUCGGCCACAUUGGGACUGAGACACGGCCCAAACUCCUACGGGAGGCAGCAGUAGGGAAUCUUCGGCAAUGGACGAAAGUCUGACCGAGCAACGCCGCGUGAGUGAAGAAGGUUUUCGGAUCGUAAAACUCUGUUGUUAGAGAAGAACAAGGAUGAGAGUAACUGUUCAUCCCUUGACGGUAUCUAACCAGAAAGCCACGGCUAACUACGUGCCAGCAGCCGCGGUAAUACGUAGGUGGCAAGCGUUGUCCGGAUUUAUUGGGCGUAAAGCGAGCGCAGGCGGUUUCUUAAGUCUGAUGUGAAAGCCCCCGGCUCAACCGGGGAGGGUCAUUGGAAACUGGGAGACUUGAGUGCAGAAGAGGAGAGUGGAAUUCCAUGUGUAGCGGUGAAAUGCGUAGAUAUAUGGAGGAACACCAGUGGCGAAGGCGGCUCUCUGGUCUGUAACUGACGCUGAGGCUCGAAAGCGUGGGGAGCAAACAGGAUUAGAUACCCUGGUAGUCCACGCCGUAAACGAUGAGUGCUAAGUGUUGGAGGGUUUCCGCCCUUCAGUGCUGCAGCUAACGCAUUAAGCACUCCGCCUGGGGAGUACGACCGCAAGGUUGAAACUCAAAGGAAUUGACGGGGGCCCGCACAAGCGG